Molecule: long non-coding RNA, 1088 nt
Organism: Ictalurus punctatus (channel catfish)
Lineage: Eukaryota; Metazoa; Chordata; Actinopteri; Siluriformes; Ictaluridae
Source: Ensembl
GAGAGAACUGAGCAGCACGGGCGAGAGGGAGAAGUGAGAAUGGCCAGGACGGGUAAGAGUUGUUGUGCCUUCAAGGAACACAGAGAGAGUCGCUUAAAGGAAAAGGAAACAGGUUUUUCAGGCCUCCUGACUUUAGAUGAAGGAAGAUAAAUAAACAGGACAGGUUUCAGCCGUGAAGACUCCGACGCCAACAACGAUAAAAGAGUCUAAAGAAUGUAUGAGCCGUAAUCAGAUUUUUCAAGCUGCAUAAUUUUGUUUUUCCUAUCAAGUCCUAUGUGUACGUCAACGAUAGAAAUACAUAGAACUGUGCUGGUUCAAGAAUAUGAGACAGGACAUUGUACAGAAUUUGGUGACAUCUCUACAUUGAUUUUCACCCUCUGAAGGUUUCAUGACCCUCAAAUCUCGUGAACCUCAGCAGGUGGGUGGUUAACGGAACCCAUAAUGCAGCUGACUGGUUCAUUAACAGCUGGAUGUGGAUUCCGUUUCCCGCCUUUCCCGCAAUAAGGUGACGUUUCUACAGUCUCAAUUCUACAUUCUCUGUGUUUGAAAGUAGCUGAGAUGAGAAACUGGGUUCAAAUGGCUUUAAAGGAAGCAUCAAUACGUGUUCUGUGAGGAAAAAUUGUAUUACAGUAUGUUUGAUACAGAUUAUAAUAGACUUAAUAAUGAAAUUAGUGCUUUGUUUUUUUUUUAUGUUUUAGUUUAGUUGAGUAUUGCACAGCAUAAAAAAAAAGAUCAAUUACUGUACCUUUAAGUCGAUUUGGUGCUGUUCAUUCAUUUCACACUUUUAAGGGGAGAAAUUGUAUUGAUGUCGCUGCAGAAUGACACGUUUUCUCCCGGAUUGCCAGAUAUACUAACCGCCACCGGGAACUUCGUGUCAGCCAGCAGUGACAUCCAAAUCUGUCAAUCAAACCUCCACGAGCCGGAUUAUCAAAAUCACUCUCUGGGCGUUUUUUCAACUCAAGUCGAGUCUAAAAAAAACCCCAGAAUAAUCAAAUGUCUGAAUUAUUAUAGUUAUGUUGUUCAAUAAACAAUGUAGAACCAAUGUAAAGUAUCUCCCUUUGUCUUUUAUGCCUCACUCACACACACAC